AUUGCCCUAGUAACGGGCGAGUGAAGCGGCAACAGCUCAAAUUUGAAAUCUGGCCUCGGCCCGAGUUGUAAUUUGCAGAGGAUGCUUCUGGCGCGGUGCCUUCCGAGUUCCCUGGAACGGGACGCCACAGAGGGUGAGAGCCCCGUAUGGUCGGACACCAAGCCUGUGUGAAGCUCCUUCGACGAGUCGAGUAGUUUGGGAAUGCUGCUCUAAAUGGGAGGUAAAUCUCUUCUAAAGCUAAAUACCGGCCAGAGACCGAUAGCGCACAAGUAGAGUGAUCGAAAGAUGAAAAGCACCUUGAAAAGGGGGUUAAAUAGUACGUGAAAUUGUUGAAAGGGAAGCACUUGUGACCAGACUUGGGCCGGGCGGCUCAUCAGGGGUUCUCCCCUGUGCACUCCGCCCGGCACAGGCCAGCAUCGGUUCUCGUGGGGGGAUAAGACCGUCAGGAACGUAGCACCCUCCGGGGUGUGUUAUAGCCUGGCGGACGAUACCCCCGUGGGGACCGAGGUUCGCGCUCCGCAAGGAUGCUGGCGUAAUGGUCACCAGUGACCCGUCUUGAAACACGGACCAAGGAGUCGUCCAUUAGAGCGAGCGUUUGGGUGUAAAACCCGCACGCGUAAUGAAAGUGAACGCAGGUGAGAGCUUCGGCGCAUCAUCGACCGAUCCUGAUGUUCUCGGAAGGAUUUGAGUAAGAGUUUUAACGGACGGACCCGAAAGACAGUGAACUAUGCUUGUAUAGGGUGAAGCCAGAGGAAACUCUGGUGGAGGCUCGCAGCGGUUCUGACGUGCAAAUCGAUCGUCAAAUAUGAGCAUGGGGGCGAAAGACUAAUCGAACUGUCUAGUAGCUGGUUACCGCCGAAGUUUCCCUCAGGAUAGCAGUGUUGAUCUUCAGUUUAUGAGGUAAAGCGAAUGAUUAGGGACUCGGGGGCGCUAUAUACCCUUCAUCCAUUCUCAACUUUAAUAUGUAAGAAGCCCUUGUUACUAAUUUAACGUGGCAUUCCAAUGUACCACCCUAGUG
This 1018-nucleotide ribosomal RNA is filed under the name Diaporthe sp. RNAcentral describes it as "partial large subunit ribosomal RNA". It matches the Rfam family "Eukaryotic large subunit ribosomal RNA", at positions 74 to 1128 of the family's 3401-position model. The record is from RNAcentral. Lineage: Eukaryota; Fungi; Ascomycota; Sordariomycetes; Diaporthales; Diaporthaceae.